This 442-nucleotide ribosomal RNA is filed under the name uncultured bacterium. RNAcentral describes it as "partial 16S ribosomal RNA". It matches the Rfam family "Bacterial small subunit ribosomal RNA", at positions 338 to 795 of the family's 1533-position model. The record is from RNAcentral.
CCUACGGGAGGCAGCAGUGGGGGAUAUUGCACAAUGGGGGAAACCCUGAUGCAGCGACGCCGCGUGGGCGAAGAAGUAUUUCGGUAUGUAAAGCCCUAUCAGCAGGGAAGAAGAAAUGACGGUACCUGAGUAAGAAGCACCGGCCAAAUACGUGCCAGCAGCCGCGGUAAUACGUAUGGUGCAAGCGUUAUCCGGAUUUACUGGGUGGAAAGGGAGCGCAGGCGGCACGGCAAGCCUGAUGUGAAAGCCCGCGGCCCAACCGCGGGACUGCAUUGGGAACUACCGGGCUGGAGUGCCGGAGAGGUAGGCGGAAUUCCUAGUGUAGCGGUGAAAUGCGUAGAUAUUAGGAGGAACACCAGUGGCGAAGGCGGCCUACUGGACGGUGACUGACGCUGAGGCUCGAAAGCGUGGGGAGCAAACAGGAUUAGAUACCCUAGUAGUC